GAGAGUCAAAGAGUGCUUGAAA
This 22-nucleotide small nuclear RNA is filed under the name Arabidopsis thaliana (thale cress). RNAcentral's name for it is "snRNA_05164". Lineage: Eukaryota; Viridiplantae; Streptophyta; Magnoliopsida; Brassicales; Brassicaceae. The record is from RNAcentral.